This 304-nucleotide unclassified non-coding RNA is filed under the name plant metagenome. Its description in RNAcentral is "partial contains 5.8S ribosomal RNA, internal transcribed spacer 2, and large subunit ribosomal RNA". The stretch from base 1 to 104 matches the Rfam family "5.8S ribosomal RNA", at positions 51 to 154 of the family's 154-position model. The record is from RNAcentral.
AAAUGCGAUAAGUAAUGUGAAUUGCAGAAUUCAGUGAAUCAUCGAAUCUUUGAACGCACAUUGCGCCCCUUGGUAUUCCGAGGGGCAUGCCUGUUCGAGCGUCAUUACACCACUCAAGCUAUGCUUGGUAUUGGGUGCCGUCCUUAUUUGGGCGCGCCUUAAAGACCUCGGCGAGGCCUCACCGGCUUUAGGCGUAGUAGAAUUUAUUCGAACGUCUGUCAAAGGAGAGGACUUCUGCCGACUGAAACCUUUUAUUUUUCUAGGUUGACCUCGGAUCAGGUAGGGAUACCCGCUGAACUUAAGC